CUCAAAUUACAGCCGUACUUCCAGUCCUCUGUCGUCAAUCGCCCCUGCGCCAAGCUCGCCUACAAGUUCUACAGGCCCUUCAAGGUGGACGCCAAGAUCGGAGCGCUCGCCUACCAAUUGGUUCUUCCGCCAGAAAGCCGCAUCCACAACGUCUUCCACGUCUCUCAGCUCAAGCCCUAUACCCCCAGCUAUACGCAUGUCUUCGCCGAGCUGCCCAAGCCACCGGACCUGUCCCUGGACGAGACGGCGCCCGUGGAGAUCCUGGACAGGCGAAUGGUCAAGCGCGGCAACGCCGCCCUGGUACAGCUGCAAGUACGCUGGUCUUCGUCUUCUCCUUCAGCCACGACAUGGGAGGAUUAUGACACCCUAAAGCUUCGCUUUCCGACGGCGACGAUCUGGCAGGGAGCGGCCGGAGCGCCAAGUGACGCUCCUUCUGAAGGAGGGGAAAAUGUCACACCCGCACCUACAAGUGCCAGGGUGGACUGCAUCGACGAAUAG
RNAcentral lists this ribosomal RNA (498 nucleotides) under Triticum aestivum (bread wheat). RNAcentral describes it as "partial small subunit ribosomal RNA". The record is from RNAcentral. Lineage: Eukaryota; Viridiplantae; Streptophyta; Magnoliopsida; Poales; Poaceae.